This is an RNA transcript of Arvicanthis niloticus (Nile rat), 2840 nucleotides long. RefSeq lists it as uncharacterized. The record is from RefSeq and is a predicted model, not a curated record. Lineage: Eukaryota; Metazoa; Chordata; Mammalia; Rodentia; Muridae.
AUAGCUAGUCCUUCUAAAGCUUUAGCCAGUGGGAAAGAGUUUGUGUUUCAAUCCUUGGAACUCCAAGUGGGACCUCUUAGAAGAUUUAUAAGGAGCCAAGCUGUCAGGAAAGCAGAAACAACACAUGGACUCCAUGACUGGGAAAAACCUCGUGGUGGCCUGCUCUCCAGUGCUUGGAAGUGUGCUCGAUACGUCUUGGAGAAUGUCAUGCUAAUGGAACCGGCACAGGCUGUGAUCUCCUCAGACUGGCUCCCUUCACCUGGCGCCAUACGUGUGAGGAACUUCCACGUGGUUCCCUCCCUGAGUGGUUUGGCAGUUCGAACUGGAGGAGGAGCACUGUGCUUCAUGGAUGUCCCGCAUUGUGUGAGGCCCCUCCUCCAGCUGAAGGAUGUUUGGGUUACUCGGAAGAAGUUAUGUGUUUCACAUCUUAACAUUUGCCGGAAAUAGGAAGUCUGACUCAAGUGUUGGCGGGCUUGUGGGACACAGGAUUCUGGGUCCCAGCUAGUGAGUGUGAGGUCGCUACACAGACCAGCUUGGCUGCGUGUCAUGAAAUUGGAAACACAUGUGUAACCCCCACGCAGAAGUAAAUCUGAGGAUUCUCAGUUUGGACCGCAGUGCUACUUCAGGAUGUGUGAAGAAGGAUGCGAACGCCUGAUUUUCUUAACUCCACCAUGGUAAGAAGAUGCCCCCCAGCAGGCUGUGCUUGCAGACAACAUGGCGCCUCUCCUGAGAUUUCCUGGACCCCAUGGAUUUACAGUAAGACAGUUUCCUGGGCAGUCAUUCGGGUGGAUGCAAAUUCUGGAGUAAUACACCUGACUUGCCUUGAACGUUACAAGUGACCGAAUGAAUGGAUUCUUCCUGCCUGGAUGCCCACUGGGAACAAGGACCAUAGCUGAGAACCAUAGCUGAGAGGACUGUAUCUCUACCUUUGACUCAAUGGGAAUAUUUGCUCAGAUCUCUCUGGCUAUCUGGAGCUCUCUCUAAAAAUCAUAUCCUCUAAGUGUUCCAGAAGGAUUUUGAGAACCACCCUUUCCUAAAUAAAAGCUGGAAUAUUUGAGGAUUUGGAAAGUUGAGGCUUCGAAGAAAUCAAGAGCAGAGAAAGAUUGAAAUGGACCUUUGCGAUUACAGCUUGGAGCUGACAUUAUCAGUUAAGUUUGGGCAGAUCUGACUUAAUUGAUUAAUUUAGUCAUUGGAGCAGAGACAACCCAGAAGCUGGGAUCAGCAUCCCCAUCUGACAUUGUGCUGAUGAGAAGUAUUGCCUUAACAGAUGCCAAGUCUUACUUGAUGUCACACAGAUGAUAAAUAGCAGCGGUGGAAGUCUUCAUGCUAGAGACAAUUCUAUAAGACAGCCAAGUCCUCCAGAAAGGAGACAGACUUGCUCAGGUGAUAGAUCCAGCCAUGAUACUGGCCCUAAGAGAAUGGGAUGCUCUGCAGAAGACAGAAGAUUCCUGAAACGUGGAAAAGUACCUAGAAUCCUAGAGAAGAGUGAAGAAGGCAUCUUCCCUCCCCUGCCUAGGCAUCUUGCAGCAUGUUCAAUACUUUCUAUAGGACUCUGGUCAUUGGCUAAGCUGUCCUCUUUCAAUUUAGUUGGAUGGAAUAUUAGGCUGGAAAGUUUACUUUCAAUUAACUCACUUGUUGAACCGCCUCGAUCUUCAAAGGAUCCCAUUAAGAUAAUUAUAGCCAUUGCUACAAGGUUAUGCUGGCUGGCCAGAAAGCUGCAGGCAUUCUCUUGUCUUGGUCUCCUGGCAUUGUGAUUAAACAGCUGGCAGAGCACCCUUUCCCAGGACUAUGAAAGAUAUCCAACAGAAAGCAAGUCUCCAUCUCUUUUCCAGCUUUGAUGUCUCUUCAUCUCAUAACUGAGGUGUCUGAUGUCUUCAACACUGGUAUUAACAAGUUCUGGGUACCUGGAGGUGCAGCAGCCAUGUUGAACGUAUGGGGUGAUGAUAAGCCCUGCAACUAGAAACCAGAAUGGAAAAACAGGAGAAGCUGGAUCCUUGACUCAGUUUUUGAUGGGAUAGUCCUUCAGCCCAGGGCUGAGACCACCUCCAGAUUUCUUGUUUGGUGAAACAAUUCCUGACUGUUUACAUUCCUUUAUGUUGAGCUGUGUCUUACUUGUAACUGAAAGAAUUUCUAAUAGAUAUUCAGAUUAUCUGCACAGCAAGGGGCAGCCAGAGCUCUGGGAUUUCAACCUAGAAUACUCUAUGUGACCAUAGAUAAGUCUCUUAGCUUCUUCAUGAAUUCCUUUGCUCAUCUGUGUAAUGCUCAAUAAAAGUAAAUUGAACCCUGAAUGAGGGACAGUGGCACAAUUGAAGUCAUGAUUGUCAAUCUUAUUAACUGACUAAAUACUUAACAAGAAGUUUGGAACAUAGCCUGACACACAGAAACCAGCUGUGGAAAGGUUUGCAAAUGGAAUGAGAAGAAAUGCACUCAUUUUUAUAGGCUUUCUUUCACAUCUUGAUCCAUCCUGAAGCCUCUGUGGUUUUUAAGCAGAACCUUGACCCCUUCACUACUGGGGCUCAUGGAGCAUGAAACGCCCCCCAAACUCUGUCUCAAAACACCCAUUCUAGUAGUUUCUUUUUGACACAAAAGACUUCUUAGAGAAGGCUGGCUUGUGAAAAAGGGGCUGUGACCACCAAAUCGUGUCAGUAGAUGACCAAAAUACCCAAAGCAAUUCAUGCAAAUAGAUUCAGGUCUCUCUGGGUGAGCCUUCUGGAAGGCUCUAGAAUUUUUGAAGCCCAUUUUUGAAAGGGUCUUUCCAUCUGGUGGCCUUUUUUUUGCACCUCCUCCCAUCUUUCUCAUUACAGGUAGAGGGAUGGGGGGAGGAUUAGUGCUUGGGCUCU